ACAAACAGAGCCGCCACCGUGCGUUAUUUAUCCCAAAAGGAGGAAAGGAAACGCUCGAAGUAAACAUGGAAAAGACAUGGUCUCGCGACCAAAGAGAGAUGGGAUCGGGAGUCAGUUACGCAAGGGGAAGGUAUUAGCACCCCUCACAUCCUUCGUACUCGACGGGAUCCACGCUCAGAAAGAUAGGAGAAAGGUUGCUAAACACUGCUCAAAAG
RNAcentral lists this long non-coding RNA (215 nucleotides) under Lathyrus oleraceus (garden pea). Its description in RNAcentral is "Pisum sativum (pea) long non-coding RNA (PSAT_LNC037320)". Lineage: Eukaryota; Viridiplantae; Streptophyta; Magnoliopsida; Fabales; Fabaceae. The record is from RNAcentral.